CAGCAGCCGCGGUAAUACGUAGGGUGCAAGCGUUAAUCGGAAUUACUGGGCGUAAAGCGUGCGCAGGCGGUUAUUUAAGACAGAUGUGAAAUCCCCGGGCUCAACCUGGGAACUGCAUUUGUGACUGUAUAGCUAGAGUACGGCAGAGGGGGAUGGAAUUCCGCGUGUAGCAGUGAAAUGCGUAGAUAUGCGGAGGAACACCGAUGGCGAAGGCAAUCCCCUGGGCCUGUACUGACGCUCAUGCACGAAAGCGUGGGGAGCAAACAGGAUUAGAUACCCCCGUAGUCCCUGUCUCUUAUAC
This 301-nucleotide ribosomal RNA is filed under the name uncultured bacterium. RNAcentral describes it as "partial 16S ribosomal RNA". It matches the Rfam family "Bacterial small subunit ribosomal RNA", at positions 509 to 807 of the family's 1533-position model. The record is from RNAcentral.